This 75-nucleotide transfer RNA is filed under the name Acidobacteriota bacterium. Its description in RNAcentral is "tRNA-Gln". It matches the Rfam family "tRNA". Rfam says of the family: Transfer RNA (tRNA) molecules are approximately 80 nucleotides in length. The record is from RNAcentral. RNAcentral also lists the same sequence under 5 other names. Lineage: Bacteria; Pseudomonadati; Acidobacteriota.
UGGGGUGUAGCCAAGCGGUAAGGCAGCGGCCUUUGGAGCCGCCAUUCGGAGGUUCGAAUCCUCCCACCCCAGCCA